RNAcentral lists this ribosomal RNA (253 nucleotides) under uncultured bacterium. RNAcentral's name for it is "partial 16S ribosomal RNA". It matches the Rfam family "Bacterial small subunit ribosomal RNA", at positions 524 to 776 of the family's 1533-position model. The record is from RNAcentral.
GACGAACCGUGCAAACGUUAUUCGGAAUCACUGGGCAUAAAGGGCGCGUAGGCGGCUCCAAAAGUCAGGGGUGAAAUCCGGCAGCUUAACUGUCGCAGUGCCUUUGAUACUGUGGAGCUAGAGGGAGGUAGGGGUCUGUGGAACUUCCGGUGGAGCGGUGAAAUGCGUAGAGAUCGGGAGGAACACCAGAGGCGAAGGCGGCGACCUGGACAGGUACUGACACUCAACUACGAAAGCGUGGGGAGCAAACAGG